This 253-nucleotide ribosomal RNA is filed under the name uncultured bacterium. RNAcentral describes it as "partial 16S ribosomal RNA". It matches the Rfam family "Bacterial small subunit ribosomal RNA", at positions 524 to 776 of the family's 1533-position model. The record is from RNAcentral.
UACGGAGGGUGCAAGCGUUGUUCGGAUUGACUGGGCGUAAAGCGCACGUAGGCGGGCGUGUAAGUCGGAUGUGAAAGCCCCGGGCUUAACCUGGGAACUGCACCCGAAACUGCGCGUCUUGAAUGCUUAAGAGGUUGGUGGAAUUCCUGGUGUAGGAGUGAAAUCCGUAGAUAUCAGGAGGAACAUCGGCGGCGAAGGCGGCCAACUGGUGAUGCAUUGACGCUGAGGUGCGAAAGCGUGGGGAGCAAACAGG